UACGUAGGUCCCGAGCGAUGUCCGGAUUUAUUGGGCGUAAAGCGAGCGCAGGUGGUUUAUUAAGUCUGGUGUAAAAGGCAGUGGCUCAACCAUUGUAUGCAUUGGAAACUGGUAGACUUGAGUGCAGGAGAGGAGAGUGGAAUUCCAUGUGUAGCGGUGAAAUGCGUAGAUAUAUGGAGGAACACCGGUGGCGAAAGCGGCUCUCUGGCCUGUAACUGACACUGAGGCUCGAAAGCGUGGGGAGCAAACAGG
Molecule: ribosomal RNA, 252 nt
Filed under: uncultured bacterium
Lineage: Bacteria
Description: partial 16S ribosomal RNA
Rfam family: Bacterial small subunit ribosomal RNA
Source: RNAcentral